This is a long non-coding RNA of Sycon ciliatum, 1688 nucleotides long. RefSeq lists it as uncharacterized. The transcript has 2 exons. The record is from RefSeq and is a predicted model, not a curated record. Lineage: Eukaryota; Metazoa; Porifera; Calcarea; Leucosolenida; Sycettidae.
UAUGAUGUAUGUCACAGUAUGAUCUGUCAAUCAUGUCAUUGUACAUGUACAAUGAGUAUCGGUAUCCAUGGUAUCUGAGACUCCUGUGGGGGCCGGCUGUAGCCGUGUAGGUAGGUAGUACUAUAAUUAUAGUACUAGCUGUCUCAAGACUCUCAACGGAAGUCAAGGCUGAUGUCGAGUAAUGAUCGAAAGACAAAAGUGUUUCCGUACAGAUAGAUCUACCCGUUGCCCCCAUCUACAUGUAUGCCGGGAGGGUAUAAAUACUCCGAAGCUGCAUUUAUUCCAGCAAUCAUUGUGAUCCGCAGCUAACGACCGUUCUUGUUUUGCCCAGUUCACGCCGCCAGGCCGAUAGUUAUCGACUUCUGUCUUCCGAAUCAGAGGCGAACAUAGUCCGGGUGGUAAUCAUGGUGAAUGCGUGGUGGAUAAUCCUUGUGGGUGUGCUGGCCGGCAUGUUCGCAGGCUACUGUCUCAUAGCGCCAAUCUUGCUUUGCUGUGUUGGAUUCGGUUGUGGAGGAGUUACGAAAGGAUCUUGUGCCGCUGGAUGUCAGUCGGCAAUCGGGAAUGUCGCGGAAGGAAGUUGCUUUGCCGAUGCUCAGUCGGAGGGUGCUGGUGGUUGCUGUAGUCCUCACUGCUGGAAUAUAUUCUGUCUUAUCGUCUUCGGAGUAACUGGUGGACUAGUUGGUGCGUAUGUUAACUUUAACUGACAAGCCCGUUCGGCACACUGAGAAAAUCCUGUGAUAAGCCAGCAUAGUGACAUAACCCACUGAGAAGUUGGCAUACUCGCGGAGGCAAACCAUGAGACGAACCCUGCACUGCGAGCUUAUUGAGCAUGGAUACAAUCAGUCUGUCAUGUACUGAGAUGUUUUGAAAGAACCUUCAGCUCAGUCCUAGUCUCACUUACUUUGCUACGUACACACACACACACACACACACACACACACACACACACACACACACACACACACACACACACACACACACACACACAUACACACACACACACACACACACACACAUACACACACGCACACAGUGACACACACACAUACACACAUACACACACGCACACACACACACACACACAUACACUCACGCAUACACACACACAUACGCACACACACACAUACACACACACAUACACACACACACACGCGCGCACGCACACACACACACACACACACACACACAUUGUACAUGUACAUUGUAAGCAAGUACCGGUAGUUGAGUGCAUCAAUGCUAGUGUAACAGUUGCCUCUUUUGCUCUUUGAGACGGUUUAUACCAGCUGCCCAUCAUUUCUAAUUUUAUUUCCACAAUUUCUUAUUACUACCAUUUUAUGAUCAUAAUAGCUGGUUUUAAAAAAUAGCUGUGCAUUGCGAAUCUUUUUUUCUUUUAAUCUUACUUCCUCCAUUUAUCUUUAGCUGGUUAGCAGUGACACGUAGGCAUAGGUGGCAUACAAUAUACAUGACUUUGAUCGGGUUUGGGCCUGACAAGGCGUUUUUCCUCUAGCCCGGUUGGUGGUCAUGAUUGGGAGUGUGAAGUUUGGUGUGUUCAGGCACUCCACCGCUGCACCAUCCUGCCCUGUGUGAGCCUGUCCUCUACUCUGUGAUUUGCCUAAGUAGUCGAGCAUUUAUGCACCUGUUACCCAUUGUCAUAAACACACGUAUUUAUUAUAUUAUUGGCUACAGUA